AUCCUUUGUAGUUUAUAAGCCUGAUGAUUGGGUUUUCAUAUAUAUACAUGACAUGUGCCUCCCAUAAAUCUUGUUACGAUGUCGGCACAUUACCCGUCUGACA
Molecule: small nucleolar RNA, 103 nt
Organism: Nycticebus coucang (slow loris)
Lineage: Eukaryota; Metazoa; Chordata; Mammalia; Primates; Lorisidae
Product: small nucleolar RNA U13
Exons: 1
Source: RefSeq, a predicted model, not a curated record